This 41770-nucleotide long non-coding RNA is filed under the name Theobroma cacao (cacao). RNAcentral's name for it is "long non-coding RNA (TCAC_LNC003956)". Lineage: Eukaryota; Viridiplantae; Streptophyta; Magnoliopsida; Malvales; Malvaceae. The record is from RNAcentral.
AAAUAAUUUUUAUAGCGUAAAAGCUAAAUAAAUUCAUACAUACUAUAAUACAGAUAACCAAAGUAUAAAAUUUAAUUUACAGUGACACGUGGGCCCACGAACGACUAAAAGUAUCAAAAGUGGUAAACCUACAGUUUUUUGAGGAUGCAAGUCCAACUGUAACCCUCAACAAAGUGAGCUAUCUACCGACUAUCUUGAGCCUGAAAUGGGUGAAAAGGAGGGUGGUGAGAUUAUAUAAUCCUAGUGAGUAAACAUAUAUCAUCUAAAAUAUCUAAAGCUGAGUAAAUGGAGACAGAUAAAAUAGAUUAGCAUAAAAAUGAUUCAUAGCAUUUUGAACUCAUUUUAAUAUGAUAAAAUAGAUUAAUUUCACCCAAAUAAACAACGAGGCUUAUGAUUUCCUGAAAAGUUUAGCUCGUGCCAAAAUCAUUAUCAUACUCAAUUAUGAGGGAUACCUUGGCUGAGGGCUAUCCCAACCGAGUAUGCCAAGGCUGUUAAAAAGUCAUGUACGCAUAAAUCAUGUUUUUAUUUUGAAAACAUAGCCGUUCCUUAGUGUUGGUUGAGUUCACUCUCACGUGGUGGUUUAGCGUGAAGUGAACUCUAAAGUGUUAACCUCAAGAGUUAUCCAUCCGCGCCUCUCAUACUAAGGUAAGAAUGUAAUAGGGUUACCGUGCCCCUCUAAUAGGCUGGUCCACGAAACCCGUCCUGUAAAGUCCGACCUUAUAAAAUACUUGUCAUGACAUACAUGUGAUGGACAGCAUGUUUGCAUGCUGGGAGAGUACCGAAAAAUUUACAAAAGUCGGUAUUGUACUUAGAGGUACAACAAAGUUGAUUUCAGCCUUGAACUAGAUGAAUAGAGAUUUUAGGGUGAAAUUGAAAAUUUUACAGUUCAGGAAUGAUUUAAUAUGGUGAUUUGGAGUUCGAGGAUCAAUUUGGAGUCAAACCGAAACUUUCACUAUCUAGGGAUAAAAUGGUAAUUUUGCCACCUGAGGAUAAAAUUGGAAUAUUGGAAGACGUUUUUGAUCAAGAUUGAUCACAUUUGAAUCAUUGGAGUAUAAUUUGAGGUUGAUAAGUGAAAAAGUUGUAAUUUCGGUAUUUUUAGAGUAUAGGGGUAAAACAGUAAUUUUACCAUCCCAAGGGCAAAUCGGUAAAUUUUCACCCCCGACACUUGUCAAGACCAAGGGAUUUUAUUCAUCAUGGAAAUGGAUAAAUAUGAGAAAUGUGUGGUGGAGAAUUAAAGAAUUAAAAGUUAAAUAUUUAAAAUUUGAACCAAUAAGGAAAUGCCAUGUGUCAUGCUUUUAUUAUUUUAUUGUUUCCUUAUAAAAAGGCAUAAAAACCAGCCCAUUUCUCCCAUAGUGGUUGGCCAAACCAGAAGAGAAAGAAACCAAGGAAGAACAAACCCUAGAUGGGGAAAAUCAAAGAGAAAGUGUUGGAAUUCAAGGAUUUGAUCAAGUAAAGGUAAAAUUUCUUUGAUUUUGCUAGUGAUUUACCUUACCCAUGCAUUUCUCCUUAAUUUUUGUGGUUGAAAAGCAUGCUUUCAUGGUGAAUUCAUGGCUGGUAAAAAUGGGCAUGGAGAGAGAAUGAUCUUGGAUUGGUUUGAUUUUUAGGUAUGUUAGUAUUUUUAGGUGAUUAAUGAUGUGUAGCAUGAAAACAAGUGAAAAAAACCACCAAAGGUUUGGUGCCCAUCAAUAACCGAAUUCUCUAAGUGAAUAAUGAGGAAGAAUGGGAUGUUAUUCUAGGUGAUUUGAUUAAGAAAUAAUAGUCUUUGGUGAAUUAAGGGAUUGGAAAAGAAAUGGAGCAAGUUGGAGUGAAAUUGGACUCAUUGGCCAAUUUAUCAGAUGAAAAAUCGACUUAGGCCAAUACUGGGUCUAGAUGGCUAUCCGUGCAUUUUUCAUUUUAUAUCACGCAUAUAUAUCGAGCCUGAAAUAGCUUAUGACUGUUAGACACAAUUUAAUUGGAAUAUAUGUCAUGGAUUAUGGCUAGGUGGUGAGCUAUUGGAUACGGGCAAAAGACUGUACCCGCGAACUAAAAAUAGGAGUACUUCUACUCCUAAUACUGUGAGUAAACUUAUUAUCGUCUUAAUUUUCUAGAGUAGUUUUAUACAAUUGUGUGAUUUUAUAGAAAAUGGGUUUAAAUGGUAAAUUGCUAUGUUUUAGGAGAAAUUGUGAUUUUAUAAAAUGAUUUUAUAAAUUUUCUAAAAAAUUGAAUACUAGUUUUGAAAAUAGAGUAAUUAGAGAGUGCCUGCUUGUCUUAUAAAUUGUGUUUUAAAUUAUAUGGCUUAUAGCAAUAUGUGAGCAUGAAUGGAAAAGUUGGUAUUUGUAUCAAAAUUAUAUAUAUACUAUGUAUUCAUCCUUGAGAGGCUAGAUUACGAUAAAUUGCCAUAUCAUGCAUAUAAAGAUUUUAUAAAUCAGAUGGUAGAUAAAAUAAUCCAUAAUCCCUACAGUGGAGGUUCUGUGGACCAGCCUAAGAGAGGGGGCACAGAUUUAGAUAUACCUUACCUCGAUCGGAGAGCCGUGUGGAGGGUUUCUCUAUAGGUAAAGAUUUGAGUGCACUUCACGUGGACCACCGCGUGAGAGUGAGACUUAGCCAAAGCCAAGGCAUGGCUAGAAUUUCAAAUGUAAAGACAUUUAAUAGCCUUGGUGGUCUCGGUCAGAUGCCUAGGCCAAUGCAUCUUCGGGAAUGAUUUUGGCAGGAGCCAAGUUUUGUGAGAUAUAUAAGCCAUGUUGAUUAAUUGAGUAAACUGAAUAUUCAUGUUAUGAAACAUAUAUUGGAAAAGAAUAUUUUAAUUCGUCUCCACUUACUCGCCUUUAGAUAGUCUAGAUGGUGUUUGUUUACUCACUGAGAUUAUGUAAUCUCACCCCUCUUCCUAUCCAUUUUUCAGACUCUGGACAGUUUGUUGAUAGUUGAUUAAGACGAGAAUUAAUCUCGGAGUUGCAUCCUAGAAAAUAAGGGUUCGUAGUCCUACACCUUCUUGGUCAGUUGGGGGGCCCACACGUCACUGUAAAAGUAAUUUUAUACUUCAGUUAUCUGAUUUAAAGUAUGUAUGAACAUAUUUAGCUUUUACACCAUGUUUUUGGCGGGUUUUCGUAUUUUUGAAAAAAAUUGAUGAAAAUGCCCUUGUGAGCCAGAAAAUAAUAUUUUAUUGUUUUGAUUUGGAAACAACUUAUGAUUUCUUAAAAUGCAAGAUUUAAUAACUGUCGCUCAUCAGGGAGAUGCGAAAGCUGAUGCUAAGCCUUGCGGGGUUUCGAUCGGCAUUUCGGGUAAUGAGUGCCUAUCGGGACACCGUGACGGUUGUCAUGGGCUCGAUGGGAGUUUCGGGUCGUGACACGUCCACUGCAUCAACCAAUUUAUAACCUACCAAUUCAAUAAAAUUCAACAGCAUGACAUGGCAAUUAUUUUAUUUUACAGCCUCUCAAGGCAAAUCAAGAGUUCAUACAUUUUCAGCACAUUUACCAAAUCCAGCCACUCAUGCCCACAUUAUCAUAAGCCAUUCAAUUCAAACCAUAAUUUACAACACAGCAAUUAGUCUCCAAUUACUCCAUUUUCCAAAACCGUCAUUCAAUUUCAAGACAAUUUUAUAAAAUCAUUUCAUUUAAUCACAUUUUGNNNNNNNNNNNNNNNNNNNNNNNNNNNNNNNNNNNNNNNNNNNNNNNNNNNNNNNNNNNNNNNNNNNNNNNNNNNNNNNNNNNNNNNNNNNNNNNNNNNNNNNNNNNNNNNNNNNNNNNNNNNNNNNNNNNNNNNNNNNNNNNNNNNNNNNNNNNNNNNNNNNNNNNNNNNNNNNNNNNNNNNNNNNNNNNNNNNNNNNNNNNNNNNNNNNNNNNNNNNNNNNNNNNNNNNNNNNNNNNNNNNNNNNNNNNNNNNNNNNNNNNNNNNNNNNNNNNNNNNNNNNNNNNNNNNNNNNNNNNNNNNNNNNNNNNNNNNNNNNNNNNNNNNNNNNNNNNNNNNNNNNNNNNNNNNNNNNNNNNNNNNNNNNNNNNNNNNNNNNNNNNNNNNNNNNNNNNNNNNNNNNNNNNNNNNNNNNNNNNNNNNNNNNNNNNNNNNNNNNNNNNNNNNNNNNNNNNNNNNNNNNNNNNNNNNNNNNNNNNNNNNNNNNNNNNNNNNNNNNNNNNNNNNNNNNNNNNNNNNNNNNNNNNNNNNNNNNNNNNNNNNNNNNNNNNNNNNNNNNNNNNNNNNNNNNNNNNNNNNNNNNNNNNNNNNNNNNNNNNNNNNNNNNNNNNNNNNNNNNNNNNNNNNNNNNNNNNNNNNNNNNNNNNNNNNNNNNNNNNNNNNNNNNNNNNNNNNNNNNNNNNNNNNNNNNNNNNNNNNNNNNNNNNNNNNNNNNNNNNNNNNNNNNNNNNNNNNNNNNNNNNNNNNNNNNNNNNNNNNNNNNNNNNNNNNNNNNNNNNNNNNNNNNNNNNNNNNNNNNNNNNNNNNNNNNNNNNNNNNNNNNNNNNNNNNNNNNNNNNNNNNNNNNNNNNNNNNNNNNNNNNNNNNNNNNNNNNNNNNNNNNNNNNNNNNNNNNNNNNNNNNNNNNNNNNNNNNNNNNNNNNNNNNNNNNNNNNNNNNNNNNNNNNNNNNNNNNNNNNNNNNNNNNNNNNNNNNNNNNNNNNNNNNNNNNNNNNNNNNNNNNNNNNNNNNNNNNNNNNNNNNNNNUGUUGGGUGGUGUAAAAUUACAAUUUUGCCCCUAGGGUGGUAAAAUGACUAUUUUGCCCUUAUGCUCGAAAAAAUGCCGGAAUUAAAAUUUUUCACUUAUCAAACUCAAAUUAUACUCCAAAUGAUCAAUCUUUGUCAAAAAUUUCAUCUAACACUCACAUCUUAACCUCGGGUAGCAAAAUGACCAUUUUGCACCUAGGUCAUGAAAAUUCCAAUUUGACUCCAAAUCGGUCCUCGAACUCCGAAUCACCAUUUUAAGUCAUUUUGGGGUUUUAAAAUUCUCAAUUUCAUCUUAAAAUCUCUAUUUGGUCUAGUUCGAGGCUUAAUUCAACUUAAUUGUACCAUUUGGUACAUUCAUAGAACUAUUUUAGAAUAAAUUUUCAAGAUUUUAGGCUGCAUUUUUUGCUAUAAAAAAAAUUCAAAACUGUGACCUUUAUUUGCAGAGGCGGUUUCAGUUUUGGCUUUCUUUUAAAGCUAUUAGGUGGCAUAAAAUUAAGAAUUUAAUUACCAAUUAAAUUUUUCUUGAUAGACCAUUUAUGGAACAAUUCCAUAGUAAUUUUCCAGGAUUUUAGGAAAUGUUGUUGGCUAUCAAUGGUUUUGAUUCCACCAACUCAGUUUUAUGACGGCCUAAUUCUAGGGAUUUAAAUUCUAAAAAUUCUUGGCAAAAAUUUGGAUAAAUUAUGGAACCUUUUCAUGAAAAAAAUCCUCAGCCAAUUGGUGCAACUAGUUGCACAAAUUUAAGCCUUUCAUGGUUGCCAAGCUGAACAGAAGCAUGAUUGUCACUGCUGCAAUCAGCAGUUGUUUCAGCCAUGUUUUGAUAGCUUACCUCCACCAUCAACCACAUGUAAUCACCCAUCUUGGAAAAUUUCCAAUGUGUAUUGAUCACUUAAAUCUCCAACAUUUUAUAAAGCACUUAAACUUUAUUUAAAAGCUAAAAAUCAAACUUUUACAAAAGCUGGGCAGAAUCAGAUUCUCCCUUAAAUAAAGCACCACAAUGUCAUCGAAUUUCCACUUUAAUUGUACAAUUAAUUUGUGCAUCUUAUGCACUAACUAAUCUUCAGAAUGUUGACAUUAAAAUGAGAUUAGUAUGGUGAGAAGUAAGAUUUAAAAAUUCACAACAAAAUUUGCCCAGAAAUCAAAAUAAUUAGAACACAUUGUAAAGUUUAAAACUUACUUCUUUGUUUCCUAUAAAACCCAUACACCUCAUAACACUUUCAAACAAGGUAUCAACAAUUGUUUGACAUCUUAAUGUGUUAAAAUCAAGCCAUGGAUGGCUUUGAUACCAUUGUUAGGUUUUGCUAUGGACGACAUGCUCGAAAUUAUGUAGUAGAGAGAAAAUUAAAAACUUUUUUAAAAAAUAAAAAUAAAAACAUGCCUUUGUGUUAGCAAAAGGGGACAACAUUUGUCCCCUUCCACUACUCGCAAGGAUGGUUGAAUCACACAUGUAACGAUCGCUCCUCGAUCGCUACCGGCGUCCGAGUUUUGCAGGAGAACCCACCAAGUCUCGAACAAGCUUUAUUUGAAACCUUAGUAAUUACUUCAUAUUCAUGCCAUCAAUCGGUGAAAUUACCUUGAACCAUAUAACUCUUGCAAUAAGAUUUGAACAUAAAUCAUAAUAAACCAUCUUAACCUUUAUUCACCAUAAUCAUAAGAAUACAUUAAAGUCUAUAAUAUUCAUCUGCACAUUUACAUUGACACUAUUUACAAUUAACUUAUGCUAUGAUCGACUCGACCUCUAGUAGUGGGGCGACUCAAAAUAAAGAGCUAGAAGAAGCCUUUACCUAUUUGUGGUGGACCAUAAGUGCCAAUGAUUACACACUGGGCCGAUCAUUAUCUGCAAAAGGGAAAAAAGGGGUGAGUCUCACAGACUCAGUGAUCAUCGGUUUCGUGAGCAGGGUAUAGAUAGGAAACAAGCUUAAGGCAGAUCAUUUGAAUGAUAAAAUUGAAAUAAAAGUAACAAUCUUAGAAAAAUCAAAUCACAAAUAGAGUGUUUGUGCCUUGCAAAAAUGAUGCCGUCAAAUCAUUGUGCAAUAUUGCACUUGGCAAAACGAUGUCGAAAACAAGUGUAGCAAAACCAAGUUCAAUAAUAGAAAACACCACUUACUAUCAAAAUAAGAGAAACAGUAUACAAGUAUGCACGCUCCCAAGUUGUGUGGCACGUAAAGAAAUCAAUUUACAAAGCCACAUAAACCAGCUUGUGAUCGUCAAAUAAGCGCUGAAAGCUUUUAUUCAAAUAAAAGGAGCUGCAGAGAAAAUCUUAACUCUCCACCAUGCAAAAGAGUACGUGUCAAAAAACUCACAAGGCUCUCGAGUAGAAAAGUAUAAUAUCAUCACGUGAACCCACUUCCAUGUAAUAACAAUCCAGGAGCACCACUUCCACUAGAUUUCCACAUGCCAUGGCAGUCUCGACGAUGUUGGCCGACAUCAAAGAAUCAAGUGGUCAUAACCGCGAAUAUCACUUGUGGCCUAGCCACAUAUAACAACCCGUGGCCUUGGCACGUAUAUCACAGACCGUGGCCUCGGCCAUGUCUACCAGCCCGUUAGUGACCCAAAGAUUCUCUAGCUAGAGUUGACUUGUGCACAAGGGUCACACUUAACUGAAGUGACAUCCGACCUACUCUUGAUGCUCUCGAUUUGUCAAAAUCGUUUUUAAAACCAAAUCAAGUUUUUCGAGACUUUUUCCUUUAAAUCGUUUGAAAUCAAGGUUUGAUAACCUGUCAAAUUGCAUUUCUCAUUAAUUGGCAUGGUGUAAACACGUGUACAAAGGUCGAAAUAAAACCGGUGCACAAAACUUGUAUUUAAAUCAUUUUAACAAAUGCAUUUAGCUAUGCAGACCACACACAAAAAUACAAGGCAUGAAUUUUGAUGUAAACAUCGUAAAAAGCUUGUUUCCUGGUUUUUAAAACAUUUUACAUAUAUAGAUUACCUAUGGGCAUAUCCAAACCAACUUUCAAAACAACUUGCAUCCACAAAAUACCUAAGAUUCUACUAGCUCAUGCUUUCCAUAAAUUUGCAUUUAAAACAAAUCAUCACAUAUAUAUAUUAUAGAAAUUUUGAAAUCGACACCCUCUACUCACCUUACAAUAGUGGGACACUUCAUCGCUAUUGAUUCGGGUGCGUAUCUAGCUAUUUUUACUUGCCGGUCACUCAUUACCUCGCCCGGCACUCCACCACAGCAAACUUUCCUUUGUGGUGGAUUUGACCUUGCAUGCAACCUCAAUGCUCUUCCAAUAUUUCACUCACCAAGCUGCAAACAAUUGCAUAAUCAUUCUCCACAAUAUUCAACUAAACAUAAGCCUCAGAACAUAGUAUUAAACUUACCACUUUCCUUUCACUUUGAACCCAUUAUGCACCCAAGGGUUUGGUGGCUUUCAUGUCACCAAUUUUCCUCUAAUCAAGCCGAUCUUUACUGCCACAAGACAUUUUUCGUAGUCACCAACUCAUUUUCAAGGAUUACUCAAGGUAAAAAUAAAAAUCCUUACCUUUCCUUGCUUGAAUUACAAAACUGAGCUUAAUACCUCUAUUGACAUUCCAUGGGUUCUCUCUUUUGAAUUUGAAGACUCUUUGAUUGAUGAAACAACACAAAUUUACAAGGUGAGGGAGGAAAUCUCAUAGUUUCUCUUAAUUUUGUGCAAACCGUGCCUUUCCUUUCUUUCUCUCUUUUUCUUUCUUUUUUUCUUUCCUUUCCUUUCUCCUUUCUUCUUUCUUUCUUCCCUUCCUCUUUCCUCUUUGGCUAUGGACGGACUCCUCAAGGUCGAGCCUUGAAAAAUGGUUUUCUUUUCUUGUUUUUGCCUUUACAUGGGCCAAUUGCCCAAUGCCUUCCUUUUUCCUUUAUUUUUCUUUUCUUUCUUCUUUAUUUUCUUUGCAUGGGUGAAUUGCCCAAGGUUGAAUGGUUCUUUUGGCUUUUUUUCUACUUAUUUUAUGUGAAAAAAUCACAUGGCAAAAGCUUGCCACCCUUCCAUCCGCCAUUUGCAUUUUUAUACUUUACUUUUCAUUUUUUUUUUCAUUUUUUUAUUCCUUACACCAUAUUUACUUUAUAUUUUAUUCAAUCAUUCAUUGUCCCAUCCAAACCACAUUCACCCCACUUUCUUCUUCCUUCAUUUGAACACCAUUGCACCAAUCACAUUUCAUGAAAACUAAUUUUAAUCUUAUUCUUUCUUUUACUUCACAUGGUGGGGGUCCCACAUGUCCUCCACUAACUUUUCCUUUUUGCACCAUAGUUUGCAUGUAAUAGUAACUUCCACAUGUACAUCUCAUAUUCCUCAUAAUCUAGCAUUCCUUGGUUAGGAAAUUCCCCUUUUUAACUUCAAAUAUUAAAAUUGCAAAUGAGUCCUCAAACUUUUCCUUAUUUACCAUACGACCCCUCCAACUUUCAUCCUUUACAAUUGGGUCCUUCCAACAUUUCUUAACUCUAAUUUCCUUCUAUUUUCCUCCCUUUACAUGUGUACAAACAAAAUACAAAAUCCGCACUUCAUCACGGUAUUACUAUAAUAUUUAAAUAUAUGCUUACUCACUCCAGCUUUAUUUAAUAAAGACAUGCGCAUCCCACUUACAUCGUUUUUUCUCAAAAUUCAUUCUUACUUCUUUUCCCACACUUAGAUUAACCAUAUACUUCUCUUUUAUGACAAAUUUUGACAACAAAUAAAACAUUAAUAUUUUAAUAUUAUUUUAUCCAAAAAUUAUUAUUUUAUUCUAAAAUUUUCCCCUUGUCUCCUUAAUACCUAAAAUGUCUAACUUUGUCCUGGUUCAGUUCCGAAUCACCUUUUAACUCACUAAUUCAUCCUCGAUAAAUAUAUUAUUAUUAUUUAAUUACUAUUUUAUCACAUGUAAAAUAUUUUAUUCCAAAAUAUUCUUUUUUACCCGUCACCACUCUUUGGCACUUAAAUUUACGUCAACUGACCCUUCGUCUUAUCGAUAAGGUCAUAUUGGUUUCUAUAUAAGGGUACGAGGUGUUACAACACACUUGAAAAAUUGCUUAAAAAUAAUUUUUCUUCUUCACAAAGUAGGUGUGAUGGCACACAAGGAGAUAAACUUUUUUUUUUCUAACAACUCUUUUUCUUCAUUUAUGGAAAAAUAGCUAAAUGUGAUUUAUAUAGUUAGGUUAAAAUUAACUUUAAUUUUGCAAUAAGGACCUCUAAAUUAUAACACAUUAUAGUAUAAGCCCAUGACUUAAUUAAAUUAUUUUAAUUCAGCCCAAUGAAAAUUAAAUUGAAAUAAUUUUCUUUAUAUUAUUGUAAUUUCAGCAUUAUAAUUAUAAUUAUUUAUAUAUUAUGUCCAAAACUUAAUUAAAUGCUUUUUAAUUAAGUUUGUAAAAGUUAAUUACCUAGCAUGUGAUUUAAAUCUAACUUAAAUCAUUACUCUUCCAAUUUAAUUAAAAUGCAAUCAUUGUUUGAGACCCAUUUGGUUUCAACCAUGUUGGUAAUGGAAUUGAUUAAUGACUUAAUUCAUUAAUAUAAAUUUCAAUCAAUUAAUUUAUAAUUAAUUCCAGAUACCAAGAUUGGUAUCUUACAAUGCAUCAUAGCCACCCAAUUAUUAGGAAAGUUAAAGGGUUCUUUGACAAACUUUCAACGUAUAAUCUAUUAAUGUAAUUCAUUCUCUCAUUAUAUAUUUUGGAGAUAAUAAGAGUUUGGUAUAGUGUCUACUCUUAUUGACCUCCAUAUUCGGUGUUGUAGUUAUAAUAUUAGCUUUAUAGAGAAUUAUGAACCCUUUUUCCAUAAUCUCCAAAUCACUUUAGCCAAAGACCUCAAUAAGCUAAUAUUAUUAACCAAGAAAUCCAAGAACUGAUAGGAUAUGUCCUUUAAAACACUUAAGGUGAUGAUUCUUAUCUUGACCACUCAUUUGCCUUCACAUUCAUCAUACUAUACCCAAAAGCAUCCUAUUUAGGCAUUCUUGGUUAGGCAGCCAUAAGGAUGAAAUUAAAGUAUAGCACUCACAUAUAACACAACUUGGUGUUUCAAGUCUAAGGAGUAUUUACACGACUGACACAUGAAAAGUGUUACAUAGACACUUGAGUGUAUUACCAAAUGCAUUUCUCAUGGUGGGUCAUGUUCAGUGAACUUACUCUUCUAGGCAAGUACCUACAUUCUAGCUCCAAUUAUCUCUAUACUUCAAUAUGUGAGAUCAAUUGCUAGCUUUCAAAGUAAGAAGCAUAGAAUGUACCAGUCUCUAAGCAUCAUUGAUGUCCAGUCUCUACGAUACAUUAAUUAGGAAUAUUUUGAGAUUAUGUUUUGAUCCAUAGGGAUCUCAUAAUUCAACCCAUUAUAGUUCCCUUGCAAGAUAUAUUAAUCUCAAGAACUUUAUCUAAUUAGACUUAUAACUCAUCAGAAUUUAUAAAACCUGACCCUAUAAAAACAUGUCAUGACGUACAUGCACUGAGUAGUAUAUUAUUAUGCUAGGAAAAGCACCUAAGAAUAGACGAAACUCGGUAUUGUACCUAAUGGUACACUUGAGUUGAUUUAACCUCGAACUAGUUCAAAUAGGAAUUGUAGGAUGAAAUUUAAUAUUUUAUAGUCAAGAAAUGACUAAAAAAUAAUUAUUCGGAGUUCGAGGGUUCAUUUGGGGUAAAAUUGGAAAUUUGGAUGUUUAGGGGCAAAAUCGUCAUUUUGCCACCUAAGAUAAUAAUUUGAUCAUGGAGUGAAAUUUUUGAUCAAGAUUAACUAUUUGGAGUAUAAUUUAAUGAUAGGAAGUGAAAAAGUUUAAUUCUGGUAAUUUCUGGAGUGUAGGGGCAAAUCGUAAUUUUACCACCCGCGGACAAAAUUUGAGAUUUUGAGAGAAUUUAGAUCAAAUUUGACAAAUUGGAGAAUGGUAUGAGUAUAAGGGAUGAAAAAUAUGUCUAUGGGCAAUUUUUCAGUUUUUGGGGCAAAAAUGUAAUUUUUGACUUUUACGAGGGCAAAAGUGUAAAUUUCAAAAAUUACUCCACCAAGACUUUGGAUAAGUCUGAGAAUUUUAUCUAAGCUAUGGAUAUGUGGGACAAGUGUAUGGUGAAAAUUUGGAAACAAAUGGAUGAAAUUUUAAAAAUGGGCCAAUGGGAAAGUGACACGUGGCAUUUUUUAAUGAAAUAAUAUUAUUUUAAUGAAAAGUCAGCCCAUUUAAACCCAAUUUUAAGUGCUGGCCGGCCAUAAGGGAGAACAAGAGAGGAAAUAGAGAGGAAAGGAAGAAAAAAAGAAAAACCAAAGAGAAACAAGAAAAUUCAAAGGGAAAUUCGCGGUUUUCGACCGUUUACGCGUCUAACGGUAAGAUUUUUCGAUUUUAGCUUGAUUUCUACCUUUCCUAUGCCUUUAUUUCCAUUUAGCAUGCUUGAGGAGAGAGAUCAAAAAGUGAUAUCAAGGGCUGGACGAAAUUCUAGGGGAGAGAAAUUGAAAUUUUUAGGUUUUGAUUUUUAGUUAAAUUGAUAGUUUUAGUUAGUUAAAUGUGUUUAGAAAUUAAAUUGGGCAAGAAAUCAUUAAAUUUUCACAAUACCCACUCUUGGCUGGAUGCUCAAUGCUGUACAAUGAUGAUGAAUUGAUUUUAUUCUAAGGAAAAUGAAGAGAAAAUGAUGAAAAACGAUUAAACGUGAUAGAAAAACAAAGUAGAAAAUUAACCGAGUUAAUGUCCCAUUUUUGGCCGAAUUUUCCAAGGAAGGGAGUGAGCUGAUUUUGUUGUUUUUAGAAGGUUAUUGGCUGAUAUUUAAUGGUUAGAAAUGUUGGAGAGAGAAUGGGAUGAUUUAGAGCUAAAAUGGAGCGCGUUAGCAAUUUAUCGGGCAAAGUGCCAAAAAUAGGUUAAUACCGCGUUUAAGCCGUUUUAGGCUAUUGCAUUUCAUACCAUGCAUUAGUAUAGGAUUUAAGUUAAUUAUAUAGUGAUUUAGCAUCAAUGUGAUGAAUUGUGUAAAUUUUUGUAAUGUGUCUAGGAGGAGAGCCUUCCGGAAAAGGCAAAGAAGUCGUACCCGACGAGUAGUGAUCGGGGCGCUUAGAAAGCUUUUAGUUUGUACAAACGGUGAGUAAACUUAUUAUUAUUGUAAAUUAUCUAGAGUUUAUUUUUAAAUGCCCUUUAUGUAUUUUAUGAAAUGAAAACGAGAUUAAAACGGGAUUUUUGAUGUUUUAGGAAUAAAUGUGACAAAUAAAAAUAUAUUGUAUUGAUUAUGAAAUUGAGUAAUUGGAGGCUGCAAAUUGACUUGAAAAAUAUAUAUUUUCCUAGGAAUGGCUUAUGAGAAAUGAGUAUAUGUGGCUAUAUUUUGUGAGUGCAUUGGGAAAUUUAUGUAAGUUGUUUUUACUAUGCAGGCUGGAUAAAUAAAUAAAAGCCACGUUAUACUGUCGAAAUUUUAUUAAAAUUGGUGGGUUAGUCACUGCAGUGACGGGUUUCCGUGGACUGCCUAUUAGAGGGGCACGGUAAACCCAGUUAUAUAGUUACUCCGGUUGUAGAGGCGAGGAGGGUAACUCCUGGGGUAGUAUUAGAGCUCACUUCACGUCGAACCCCCACGUGAAUGUGUAACUCGGCCAACGCCAAGGAACGGCUGGUUUUAAAAAUAAAAAUGUGUUUCACGUGUGAAUAUUUUAACACCCUUGGCGGACUCGGUUAGAUGCCUCGGCCAAGGUAUCCCCGAGGAUUAGUUUUGGCUUGAGCCUUGUUUUAAUAAAAGACAUAAGCCUUAACAACUGUUUUGGUAAAUUACAAAUAUUUUAUGGUUUAAGAAAUAAAUUGAAAACAUUAUGAAAUGGGUUGAAAUUUGUUGUUUAAACUUGCCUCCAUUUUACUCGCCUUUAGAUAUUUAUGAUAAUGUCUGUUUACUCAUUGGGAUUGCAAAAUCUCACCCAACUCCUUUCCACCCAUUUCAGGUUCAGUAUAGACUGUAGAUAGCUGAUCUCAUCGAGGACUACCAUUGGAUCUGCAUUUUCCAAACCGUAGGUUCACAGUCCUCUUUACUUUUGUUUAUUCGGGGGCCCUCUUGUUAUUGUAAAUUAAAUUAAAUAUUUUGGCUUACUGUAUUUCAGUAUGUAUAAAUUUAUUUAGCUUUUACGCUAUAAAAAUUAUUCACGUAUAACUCUAUAAAUAUUGUUUUAUAAGAAAAUAGAAUAUUUUCCUUAAUAUUUCUUUUAUUUUCUUAUUAUAUUCAAAUAACCGUAAUUUCGUUUUAAAUGAAGAUUUUAGACUUUUAAACUCAUUUUGAAUAUGAAUUAUGUAUUUUGUACUUGUAUAUUACGUUUUAGCCAGUUUUGAAAUUUAAAAAAAAAAAUAACAAAAAUACCCUUGUGUGACGAAAAUUUUAUUUUGAUUGUUUUUUAUAUAAAAUAGUGUAUAUUCUCUAAAAACUCGAUAUUUAACAACGAUUGCUCACAGGAAAGGAAAAAAAAAUUGAUAUGUAAACCUUGCGGGGUUUCGGUUGGCAUUCCGGAUAAUAAGUGUCAAUCGGGACGUCGCGGCGAUUGUCAUGGGCCUGAGGGAGGUUCCGGAUCGUGACAGAAUUAAUGUCUUAUUGAUGAAGAAAAACCUCUAAUCAUUUAAUAUGAUUGAUAUCGUUGCACGAUUGGAACCAAGCCUUGACCAAUCUUAAUUGGCUGUAGGGCUCAUCCCAACAGAACGGUCUUGGCAACAAAAACUAAGAGUCAAGUGGUUACUUAAAGAUGAUAAGAAUACAAAAUUUUUCCAUUUGAUGGCACUUGCUAGAAGGAAAGCCAAAUAUUCAUUGAAAAAAUUGUAGUUCAAGGCGAAAGUGGUUAAUAAUCCUAUAAUUUUAAAAGAGAGCCAAACAAUUUGAAUCUUUUUACAGCCAAAAAACAAUUGUCAAAGUAAAGGAAUUCAAUCGCAACUUCCAAGUUUUAAAGGAGCAAAGUGUGUGUUUUUUGGAAUGACCCUGAAUCUGCUUAGAAGCUUUACUCUAGCAAUGACCAAAUCUAGACAAGUCAAGGAAUAUGGAUGCUGGAAUAAUAGAAUAUGUUUGUGGAAAAUUAAACUGAGAAGAAGUUUGUUUGAUUGGGAGGGUCAUCAUUGGGAUCAUUCAGAUAAAAUCCUAAAGGAAGUUUUCUUGGCUAUGUGUUUCUAGAUAGACUUAUAUGGAAAAGUUCCUCAAGAGGAGACUACUCGGCCAAGUCUUUUUGGGAGCUAGUUCUUGACACUUCUUGUCUCAAAUGUGAUCAUUAAAUGCUAGUAUGGGCAAGACUUGCGCUCUUAAAAUCGAGAUCUUACAAUUGAUAAAGAAGAUAGAGUUAUUGUGAAAGAUGAAUUAGUUAAAAGGGGAUUAUUAAAUAAGAGAUAACCUGUCUACAUCUUGUGCAAAAGCGAGAUUAAAUCGAUUAAUCAUUUAUUUUCACUGGUUUUGAAACUAGGAAGAUUUGGACCAUAUAUUGUAAUAUUUGGUGAAUUUCUUUGGUUACCACGUGCAAUGGAACAUCUUUUUUUCAGCUUGGCACUCUGAUAUACCGAAAAACAAAUAUUACAAAGUACGACGAAUGGUUUUUCUACCAUUACAUGGUUAAUUUCGCUAUUUAGAAAUGAGAUGGUCUUUAAAAGGAAUACAUUUGGUUUGGUGCAGCUGAUUGAUUGAUGUUAUUAAAAUGAGAAUUACUUGGUGGUAUAAAGCUAGAUCCUUGUUUGAUCUAAACUCGAUUACAUUUUUUUAUCUAGAUUUCCAAAUGAUGCCUCCAUUCCUAAAAGUUUUAAGCUUAAGAAAACAAGGGUUUGUGUGGGAUGUCCUUUGUGUGGCUCUCUCAAAAUUAAUGUUGAUGGAUUGUCUAGAGGAAAAUUGGGUGCUGCAAGAGUGGGAAGGUACUGCAUGAUGAGGUAGGAUUUGUAAAGUUGAUGUUUUUAAAUUAGUUGGUACAUUUGAUUCAAAUCUUGCUGAAUUGCUUGUAAUUAAAGAAACUUUUAUUUAUUUUGAGCUAACUCACAUUGUUCAAUAAUUGAAAAUGACUCCUUAAAUACAACAAAUUAAAUUUUAAACCCUCAAAUAAUUCUGUGGAGGUUUUUUUUUUUUAUAAUUGGGGAAAUGGGGAUUCGAAUCCUGCUUUUUAGGCAGGGAGAUAAUGCACCAAUCAAUGAGUCAUACUCGGAUGCAAACAAUUUUGUGGAGGUUGAGAAGGUUUAUUUUACAUAUCAAAACUUUAAAGUUACAAUUGAAAAGAUGAUAAAUAUAUUAUAUCCCUCGAACAGAAAAUAAAUAGACGAUGAUUUUACCAAGUCUGGUGUAUAAAGAACUCAUAAUUUUAUAUUUGAGAUUAGUUAAUCUGGAGUGUCGACACUGUUGACCAGCUUGCUAAAGGGGGAGUGUCGAGACCGAAUGACCUUCUGUGGAUCUACUUUGAAGCUAACCCAACUCAGAAUGUCGAGACGCUAAUGAUCACCGAUGGAGAGUAAGCCCAUUUGGUUUCUUUCUUAUUUUUAUAUCACCUGUUUUUGUUGGACAUUUCUGGUACGGUAGAGCUUGUUGAUUUUGUUGCUCAAUAGGUGAGCUGUAUGUACAAGGGUGAUCAUAUUUUGAUUUUUGUACAGGGUUCCUUCUCACCUCCUUCUUGACAGGACAUUUUCUGCUUCUAUCAUGUGGUGGGUACUUCCGCAGGAUCAUUUUUUUUUUACUGCGGCUUUUGCUUGAUUGUAUAGGGACUUUCCCUGUUGAUCUUGAAAUUUAAUACUACUCUCAACCUUUCGAAAAAAAUUUGGAGUGGUAGUGACAGGAUAAAAAGAGCAAGUAAGUUCUACUUUUUACUGCGUGAGCCUGCUCUGCAAUUUGCUAAAUGCUUUAAUUGAUCUUGAUGCACUUACUCUUACUUCUCAAAAAGAAAUACCCAAUAAAUGAUGGCAUAGCCACCCCUCGGCUUCCAAGUAAAUCCUAUGGACUUUGGGGACCAUGGAAAGAGCGAGGCGAAUUAACAAUUGCAAAUUACACAAUCCAAGAAAAGUACUCAUAAUAAUAGUCUCGUUUCCUUUUCAACUCGUUGUCCAAAAGAAUGCCAAUAGAACAAGAGAUGGGAAACUGGUGGGUUUGGGUUGGAUUAUUUUAAAUUCGGAUUCUUUUAAGAUUGUGUCAUAACUUGUUUGAUUAUUUUAGCCUUGGUUCAAUUCAUUUUGGAUUUUUUUUUCCCAAAUUUGAGCUUGACCUUUUAAUUAACUCAAAGCUGAUUAAAUUUGAAUUUGGAUUUUUUCAAAUGACUUUUCAAAUUCAGAUUCAUUUUGUCACUUCUAAAUAAAAUAUAAUGAAAAUAUCAUGAAAAUGGUCCCGAAAAUAGGCUGCCUCCAAACAAAUUUUAUUGCCGGGUAUUAUUUUUUAUUUUGUCAAACAUCAAACGUGGUACAUUGAAAGGAAAUCGAAGGAUGCAACUUCAAUAAAAAUAAGGAUUAGGUAAGUAAACAUGCACGAAUAGCGGCUGCAUUCAAAAAAUCAUUUUGCCUUGAUGAAUUUAAACAAUAAUUUCCCAUGAUCAUUUUUUUUAAUUUUAUUAUUGGAUAGAAAGUCAUCAUCAGUCAUUUGUCCCCUAGGGAUACCAGCAUCAGCGGAGCUGUAUAUAAAUUGGCUUAUUUACAUGGAAAUGCUUCACAGCUAACUGUUAGUCACAAGAUAGAAUAACUUCCUUCCAUUAUUGUUUAAUUUAGAGCAGAAAUGGGCUCUGAAACUCCUCUAAAGCUUCCAGUCAUUGACUUCACUAAGCCAGACCUAAAACCGGGAACCACUGAGUGGGAUUUGGUGAAAGGGCAAGUCCAGCAAGCCCUUCAAGAGUACGGUUGCUUUGAGGCUUUGUUCAACAGGAUUCCUCUCGAUGUUCGAGAGACAAUAUUUGGAGCCUUGGAAGAGCUUUUUGACCUCCCUUUGCAAACCAAAAUUUGCAAUGUUUCCAAGAAGCCUUAUCAUGGCUAUGUUGGCCAAUAUCCUCAAGCACCAUUAUAUGAGAGCUUGGGCAUUGACGAUGCAAACAUUAUUGAAAAAGUUGAAGCCCAGACUCGUGCCUUGUGGCCAGAAGGAAACAAAAGUUUCAGGUUCAUAAAUUCCCUUCUCCGAACUUUCCAGUAACUUUUCGUCAAACUCUUAAUUUUGGCAUAAAAACUACAGACAAUUUUUCACCUUUCAAAACGAUAACAUCUUUAAUUUGUCAGCUAAAUAAUGCAACUUACAUAUGUUUCUAUGAUAUAGUAUGGUCUAUAUAUACAUAUAUUUAUUCUCUUAUAUUUUUUAUCCAUAAUACUUAUAUAUUAGUCCCCUAAUUAACAUGAUCUUUGUUCGAGAUUCCGUUUGUGGUUUGGAAGGGAAGGUGUUGUCGGUACUACGUAGUUUUUAGCUAUCCAAGUGUCCUAUGUUAUGAGUUGGAUUAAACUUUUGUUUCUGUUUUCAAAUGGUUAUUCUGUUUCAUUUGCAGCAGCAAUUACGAACCCAAUGGCUGAUCUUCAUCUUUGUAACCCUAUAGUUAAUUGAUAAAUUAUCUUUUUUAUGACCGAGCAAUAAAAAAAAAUUAAGUACCUUAACAGCUCUACUUAAUCUUGACAGCAACAUUAUACAAUCCUUCUCAAAGCAAUUAGCAGAGUUAGAUCAAACUAUUAGAAGAAUGAUAUUGGAGAGUUAUGAUCUUGAUAAAUAUAUGGAUGAGCACUUGGACUCGACGAACCACCUUCUUAGGUUAAUGAAAUAUAAAGGGCCCAAAACCACCGAAACAAAGCUUGGACUACAGAGUCACACAGACAAGAACAUAGUGACCAUAUUGUACCAAAAUGAGGUUGAAGGGUUGGAGGUACAGACCAAGGACGGAAAAUGGUUCGAUGUGAAACCCUCCACCUCCAAAGGCUCUUUCAUUGUCAUGAUUGGGGAAUCUCUCCACGUAAGUCUCUUCCCAUUUUCCCUUUUGAUGAUUUAGUUAAGAAAAGUUAACAAAAUUAGCGAAAUUCAUAUUUAUAACAGGUACUAAAUAUAGAAUAAGUCAAGUAGUACUCUCUUUUAUUCAAAUCAGUGGCGGAUCUUGGAUUCUGUAUGAGAGGUGAUAAGUAAUUAUACAAUAUCAUGGAUUGGGUCAAUAAUUCGAUUUAAAAUAAAAAUAUUAAUUAUUUUUUAAAUAAAAUUAAAUUAUAAUAUAAAAUUUCAUUAACAAUUUAAAUAUAAAUUUUCAGAUUCACUAAUAUGAAUAGAUAUAAAGGAGAAAACAAAAUUAACAUUAAAUUUUUACAUUAGGCACUGUAAGCUAUACUCGAUGUGUUUUCAUGCUUUCAAAUUCAUUUGUGACUAAACCCGUGUCAAUGAUCCUGAUAAUUUUUUUUUCAAUGUAAAGGAUAAAUGAAUUAGUAAGAAAAUCAUCUUCCAUCUUUUUACGUAAUCUCAUCUUUAUAAUUUUUUUAACUAAAAAUGCAUGUUCUGUAAUUACUAUAAAAACUAGAAGAGUUAAAAUAACUCGAACUAAUUGAUCUAAGAAAAAAUAUACAAUUGAUUUUUCCAUUUUUUGACAUUAACUGACAGAGCUCUAAGAAAAAUGAAACACUUUACAAAUAUGGAUCUUGUUUAAUAUAAAGUUCAAAAUGCUUCAAUUUAUAUUUGAUAUGAAAUUAAACCAUAUAGGAGAAAAUAUGCAAUUAAUUUUUUUGCAAAAUAAAAAUAAAAGAGAAAAAAAUAAAAAAUAAUUCCAAAACUUGGGACAAGAAGAGAAAAAGAAUAAAAACAAAAUAAUUCCAAAACUUGGACCAAGAUGAGCUAAGGAAAAAAAGAAGAAAAAAAGAAAAAAAAUUUCAAAAUUUGAGAUAAGGAAAAAAAGAAAAAAAAUUUCAAAAUUUGGACUUAGAAGGGAUUGAACACAUUCGAAAAUUUAAAUAAAGUACCUUACCAUUACUUCAAAUCAACUCUUUCAAUUCAUUUAUGGCCGGCAAAAUUAUAUGUUUUGACUUUUUUACAUAUAAAAAUAAAAAAAAUAAAAACUGAUUCAAAUUGAAUAUUCAUUUCUCUUUUUUAGUCUGUUUCAAAUUAUGUUUAUUUUUCACAAUUUUAUUUUUUUAUGUUGCGUAUUAAUUUUUAAUAAUUUUUUUCUUCUUAACAUUAAAAACUAUAAUUUUUAAUUUUUAAAAAAGAAUAUUAAAUGAAAUUAAUUAUCAAAAAGAAAAAAGAUAGAUUUCAAAAUUUAAAUUAAAUUUGAUAUUUGUAAUUAAAGGGAAUUUACUUAUGGGAGUUCAGUCCUUAACAAACACAUAUGGAAUAUAUUUGAGAAGUGAGCCAAAAAUCUGUAUAAAUAAAGUUUGUGUGAUAACGUCGCAGGCAUGGUUAAAUGGCCGACUGCACGCUCCUUAUCAUCGCGUCAUGAUGAGCGGAGACAUGGCAAGGUACUCCAUCGGUCUGUUUUCAAUCCCGAAAGGAGGUUACAUGAUAAAGGCCCCAGACGAGCUAGUGGAUGAAGCACACCCCUUGCUCUUUAAGCCCUUUGAUCACGUUCAAUUCUUGGGGUUCUACUACACCGAGGCUGGUCAAAAAGCUGAAUCUGCCCUUAAAGUUUAUUGUGGUGUCCAGAAUUAAUGGGCUAUAGCAAAAAGGUUUGCAACUGAGAUAUUGUCAAAACCUUGUUCUAUAAAUAAUAUGAGGGAUGGAAUAAGGGUUAAUUUAAGUUUAUUCUCUUUUGUAAUUUAAUGAAUGAUGUGUUGGUUUUGAAAAUUAAGUUUCGAGUAUGAAUAAGAAAUGGAUUGUUAUGAGUGCCACAAUAUCACUAGAGGGAAACAGGGUUUCAGUGACUGAAAGUCUCAGUUCCACUUCUGGAUUCGCAUUUAAUUUUACUAAUUACUAGGGAACCUUGUGCAUUAUUUUUGGAUAACAUAAUACAACAUGUGCAAAUUAUAAAUUAAGUAAAAGCUAGUACAAUUAGAUAAUGUUUUUGGUACAGGAAGGGUUACUAAAGUUAUAAUUAUAUAAGUUAAUAUAUAAACAAGUAAAUAAACAACAAUAGCUAGGCAAGUAAAUAAUUAGUUUUUAGAUAUUAGACAAACAUUGGUACUUUGUUACUUGUUAAUGUAAGAAAUUUGAAUGUUAAUUAAUUUAUUUUCUUAAAAGAGUUAAAGGCCCAAUUUAUUAUUUGGGCUGAAAAGUCCAGUUUAUUAAUUGGAUUUAAAUCUAAACUGUGAAUUAGACUUAAUAGGUCAUUUGGGCCAUGUCUGAGCAUGGUAGUCGUCUUUUCCCCCCUUUCACAUCUGCUCCUCCCAGCAAAGCCUCGCCAAAUUGGCUCCUGGGAGAACCCAUUAUUUCCCACACCUUGCAAUCCCAAGACGACGUUCAAACCACUAGUCUCUUCCAUCAAUCGCCAUUAUCAAGCACUUUCUAUAUAUAUAUACAUAUAUAUACAUAUAUAUAUAUAUAUAUAUAUAUAUGUAUAUACGUAUGUGUAUGUGUAUGUGUAUAUGUGUAUAUGUGUAUAUAUAUAUAUGUACACAUAUACACAUAUACACAUAUACACAUACACAUACACAUACAUAUAUACAUAUAUAUAUAUACAUAAAAACCAUCGGAGGAGGAGGAAAACAUGACUACAGUAUGCUAAAUCUCUUACUAUUAUAUAUAUUUUUAAAUCAUAUUUCAUAAAAUUUGAUCGCAUUCAUACUAAAAAAGCAAUAAACUAUGGAAUGAUUUUAAUUUUAAAUAUUUUUUUGAUUUAUUGAAAGCAAAUAUAAAUUAUUAAAUGAAUAAAUAAGUAUAACUUUGUUAAAAGAGUGACCUCAAAUAUGGAAAUUCAAUCUCAAAUGAACUCAGGAAGCAACUAAAACUGAAGGCUGUAUGUUGAAGAGGGUUCAUCAAAAUACUGAAUGAUGUUGUAUGGGUAUUUCAAGUUUUUAGAGUAAGUAAUAGGGUAGUUGUUGUGUCGUUUUGUGUUAAGUUUAUUAAAUAGCUUUAUAAGCUGUCGUUUAUUCAACAAUGUUUUUAGCUUCCUCUAAAAGCUUUAUAUGAGCAUCAUUCUAAUUAUUUUCGUAUAGGCUAAUGGUCAUCUGCUUGUUCUUUGUUCUUUGUUAUAGCCGUUAAAGCACAGAAAACUGUCUCUGUAAUGAAUAUAAAUACUAAUUUGUAACCGCCAUUAUGUGACGCCUUUUUGAUCAAAUCAAUUCCCAAUUGUUCUUUAGCUGGUACUCUAUUUUUUUCUUCUUUUUCAUCUUUCUCAACCUUUGUUGCUAGAAAUUAUUAAAACUUAGUUUUCUUUUUCAUGGUAUCAAAGCCUUUCAUCUCAAGGGACCUAUAAUACAUUGUUUUUGUAUCAAAGCAUCUUCGAUUUCAUCAUGGCUAUAGCUGGAUUCAAUACAGCUACACCUCCUGUAUUCACUAGUGUUAAUUACCCUCUUUGGGAAGUGAAAAUGAGGUUAUAUCUCAAGGUGUUUUACUUGUGGGAUGUGUUGAAGUCUGGUGAGAUGCUUGUUCAUAGGCAUGUGAAUCCAAACCUUGCUCAAAUUAGGCAACACUCAGAAGAAGUUGCAAAGAGAUACCUGGCUUUGAUCAGCUUGUAGUCAGUUGUGUCGGAGUCAAUCUUUGGGAAGAUUAUGCAUUUGGAGGAUCUUAAGCAAGUGUGGAAUAGUAUCAAAGAAGAAUAUAAAGGCAAUGACAGAACAGAGGUUAUGUAGAUUAUGAAUCUAUCAAGAUAGUUUAAGGUGAUGCAGAUGAAGAAAGAUGAGGGCAUUCAAGAGUAUACAGAUAAGAUGUUAGAUGUGGUAAAUCAGCUCAGGAUGUUGGGACAAGAAUUCACUGAUCAGAGGAUGGUCAACAAGAAUUUGGUGAGUAUGUCAAAAAGUUUGAAUCAAAAGUGACUUCACUUGAAGAUUUGAAGGAUCUAACUAAAAUUUCUAUGAAAGAAUUGAUCUCUACUCUAUUAGCUUUUGAACAGAGAAAAGCUCUUAAGUAUAAAGACUCUGUUGAAAAUGCAUUAAUAGCUAAAACUAAGGGCUUAAGAGUCAAAGCUAAAAACUCGAAGAAGAAUAGUAUCAAAUGCAUUAAGUAUGGUACUGCAAAGCAAGGAAAGAAUCAAGACAAAUAUCCCCUUUGCACUCACUGUCAGAAGACUAAUCAGACUCUAAAGUAACUGCUGGAACAAGCCUAAUAUGAGGUGUCGAGUCUGUCAUCAACUUCGACAUGUGGAAAAGUUGUGCAAAGCCAAGAAACAAGAAGCUGAAGGGAAGGCUGUAGUGGAAGAAAAAGCUGAUGAAUCAGAUGAGGUACUGUUUAUGGGUAAAGCAAAUGAUGAACUUGCUGAAAAGUGCACCUAGUUGAUGUUGGUCCCAAGUAAAUGUUAUAGAGGGGGGGUGAAUAGCACUUUUUGGCUUUUACUAAAAUUGACUUUUAAUUGAUGACAAAUGCAACAUAAAAUAAAGAUUUAAAGAUGAAUGAGCAACUAAAAAUAGAGCAGACAAUCACACCAAAAUUUAGAAUGGUUCAGUCCAAGACCUACAUCCACUACCUUGGUUGUUCAACCAAGGAUUUUCCAAACAAAUCCACUAUGAACGGUGAAAUUUACAAGCUUUCACCAGCUUUUACAAUGAUUUUUACCAGGCUCAGCCAAAACCUUUCACAAUAGUUUUUACAGGGAUCAAUCAAAACCCAACAACUAACUUUUCUAUGCUAAGUUAGAACCUAUGCACUCAAUCAAGCAAUCCAAGCUUGAAUAAAUUCCCUUAGAGUGCCUCGCACACUCUAAGUAUACAAGAUGAAGAGAAAUAAAGGUGUACCUAUAAUCAUUGAAUUGAUCUAACUGGUACAAAGUGAAGUGCAGAUCACAAUUACAAAGAUAAGAGUUGAGUGCAGUAAAUGAGCAGAGAGUAUUGGCUGGUUUUUGAGCUCUUUUUGGACUUGGAAGCCUUCAUUGCAUUUCUAGCCAUUGGAAGCCUAUUAAAUACUUGAAAAAUUAGCUCUGAUAGGUGUUAGGUAGUUUUUGAUCGUUGGAAAUAGUUUGGUGGUAGUUCUGGACGUUAAUCUAUCUACUAGUGCUCAAUUUAAAUUUUCUGAUAGAAUGAUCUUAGUUGACUAACUGCGCUCUUAGUCGACUAAGUCGUUUCUGUUUUUUGAUCCCAGUUUCUGGCAGUGAGCACUUAGUCGACUAACUUUUUUUUUAGUCUAUUAAGUUGUUUCUGUCUUGAAGUCCCAAUAGACUCUUAGUCGACUAACUUACUUCUUGGUCAAUUAAGUUGGUUCUAUCUUGAAGUCUAGAUUUCUGGUAGCAGACUCUUAGUCGACUAACCCAUUUCUUGGUCGACUAAGUCUUUUCAGUUUCUCAAUACUCUUGAGCUUGCCAACUUCUGAUUUGAAUUUUAGUUGACUAACCCUUUAUUAUUCAACUAAGAAUCUUCUGUUUUAUUGAUUAAUUGUGGCUUCUUAUACAUAUAAUUUUUUAUAUGUUCCUUGGAAUAAUUUAUUUAUCAUUGGCAUACAAUUCUUGUCUUGCACACUCAAGUAGAAAUAUUAGACACAAAUGAAUGGGAAUGUUUUAUUAUCAUAAAAAACUAAUAGAGCCAACAGUUGAUUGACAGUGGUUGCUCAAACCACUUGAUAGGUAAUGUUAAUUUUUUCACUGAGCUUGAUGAGAGUUAUAAGGCUCGUGUAAAGAUUGGUAAUGGUCUCUACAUGGAAAUACUCGAAAUAAGUACUAUAGGAGUGAAAACUGUAGCUGGUAUGAAGUUUAUUCAUGAAGUGCAUUAUGUGCCUGAAGCUGAUUAGAACCUAUUUAAUGUAGGUCAAUUAGAUGACAAUGGUUAUGCAUUACUAUUCAAAAAUAGACAAUGCACAAUAUUUGAUCCUACUAGUGUUGAGUUAUUAAUAGUGAGUAUGAGAAACAAGUGUUAUCUUAUGAGUUUGUUAGAAAGUAAACAACUAGCUCUCUAUACUGAGUAUGACUCAUCUAAAUUGUAGUAUAAAUGUGUUGGACAUGUAAAUUAUAAUUCACUAUCGACAAUGGCUUUAAAGGAGCUUGUAUUAGGUCUACCUGACAUUAUCAAAUCGAAAAAGUUAUGUGAUAUUUUUCAGUUUGGAAAACAGAGCAAGAAACCUUUUCCUAAGGAGAGUAAAUGGAGAGCCACAAAGAAGUUAAAGCUGGUUCACACUAACUUGAGUGGUCCUAUGAAAAAUCCUUCAUUGAGUGGAAACAUGUAUUAUAUCUUGUUCAUUGAGGAUUUCUCUCAUGACUACUGGAUUUUCUUUCUGAAGAAUAAAUCAGAAGCUAGAAGGAGUUUUUUUUAGUUCAAAGCAUAGGUUGAGAAGUUUGGUAGCUUAAGCAUCAAAGUACUAAAGAUAGACAAUGGAGUUGAAUACGCUUCAAAUGACUUUGAGAAGCUUUUGGCAACAGUUGGGAUUCACCAUCAGUUAAUAGUAGCUUAUAGUCUACAGCAAAAUGGCAAGGCUAAAAGGAAGAACAGAACAAUUACAGAUAUGGCAAGGUGUUUGUUAUGUUAGUGUAAUUUACCUAUGAAGUUUUGUCUAAGGCAGUUAACACUGCCAUCUACUUUCAAAAUAAAAGCAUCACUAAGGCACUAACACUCAAAACUCCUUUCGAGAUCUGGUAUCAAGAAAAGCCCUCUAUUUCUCAUUUUAAAGUCUUUGGUUGUGUGUGUUACACUCUAAUUCCUGAUCUGAAGAGGUCCAAAUUUGAUGCUAAGGCUUUUAUUGUUGUGCAUAUUACGUAUAGUGACAAGUCCAAAGGAUAUAGGCUGUAUGAUUUAGAAGCAAACAAAGUAGUUAUUAGUAGGGAUGUGGCUUUUUAUGAGAGUCAAUGUUGAAACUUGGAAAAGAAGAUUGUUGAAUCUAUUCUUGGUGGUCAUGAUGCAAACGAUCAUCAACCAUUGCUAGAGAGUGAUGAUUUUGAUAUUGAAGAUGAAAGUAAGGUUAUGAGAGGGACAAAGACACUAGAAGACAUACACAGUAGAUGUAAUCUUGCUAUUUCUAAUCCUACUACUUAUUUUGAAGUUGUAGUUGAUGAGAACUAGAGAAAAGCUAUGAACACUGAAAUUUCUAUAAUAAAGAAAAACAAUACUUGGGUGCUAGCAGAUAGACCUACAAAUCACAACAUAAUAGGAGUCAAAUGGAUAUUUAGAACUAAGCUAAAUCCUGAUGGCUCGAUAAACAAAUACAAAGCAGGUUGGUGGCUAAGGGAUAUGCUCAUAUUUAUGGAGUUGAUUAUUUGGAAACCUUUGCACUAAUUGCCAGACAUGACACUAUUAGAAUGCUUGUUGCAUUGGCUAUUAGAGAAAGCUGGAAGAUAUACCAUUUAGAUGUAAAGUCAGCUUUUUUAAAUGGUUAUCUAUCUGAAGAUAUCUUUGUGGAACAAUUAGAAGGGCAUGAAGAGCUGGGGUCAGAGAACAAGGUUUGUAAGUUAGUGAAGGCAUUGUUAUUUAAAACAGGCACCGAAGGCCUGGUAUGAUAGGGUAGAUGCUUACUUUACUAGUAAGGGCUUUCUGAAAAGCAUAAAUGAGUGUACAUUGUAUGUGAAGAUAUCUGGUAACACUGUAGUGUUAAUUGUUGUAGUAUAUGUUGAUGAUUUGUUAAUCACUAGACUUGACAAUGAUUCAUUGUUUGAGUUUAAAAACUAGAUGAUGAAGGAGUUUGAAAUGACAAACUUGGAGUUAAUGACUUAUUUCUUCGAUAUGGAGGUUCUACAAAUUGGUUAAAAAGUGUGGUUACAUCAGACAAAGUAUGCUAAAGACUUGUUAAAGAAGUUCAACAUAUUUGCUUGCAAGGCAGUAGCUACUCCACUAGCUUUUGGAGAUAAACUCCAUAAGGAAGAUGGUUUUGCAACAGCUGAUGGUUUUAUCUAUAGGAGUCUGAUAGGUUCCUUAUUAUACCUAACAGCAACAAGGCUUGAUUUGAUGUUUGCAAGAUGUCUAUUUUCUAAAUUCAUGCAAGCUCCUACAUUGUUACAUUUUACAACAGCCCAAAGAAUUCUUAGGUAUGUUAAAGGAACUGUUGAUUUUGGUUUGAGGUUUGUGAGGUAGGAUAGUGGGGACUUAGUUGGAUACAGUGACAGUGACUGGGCAGGGUCACUUGAUGAUUCUAAGAGCCUAACUGGGUUUUGUUUUUCUUUUAAUAGUUCAGUUUUCUCAUGGAAUUUGAAGAAACAAAGUGUUGUUGCACAGUCUAUUACAAAAGUUGAGUACAUGGCAACUACAACGAUUGUUAAUCAGUUGAAGUGGCUAAGGAAGAUUCUAGAUGAUUUUGGUUUCAAAUAAGAUAAGGGCAUUGUGAUCUUUGUUGAUAAUCUAUCAGCCAUCGAAAUAGCCAAAAAUCCAAUUCAUCAUGGGCGAACCAAGCAUAUUAAGGUGAAAUAAGUUGGUCCCAAUAAUAUGUGCUAGAGGGGGGUGAAUAGCACAAUUCGGCUCUUUCUAAAAUUGUCUCUAGGUGUAGACAAAUGCAAGAUAAAUGAAAGAAAGAAAAUAAAAAAAAAACAGAGUAAACAAAAUAGCAGAAUUUAGAGUGGUUCGGUCCAAGACCUACAUCCACUACCUUGAUUAUCCAACCAAGGAUUUUCCCAACAAAUCCACUAAGAACCGGUGAAAUUAACAAGCUUUUACCAAGCUUUACAAUGGCUUUUACCAGGCUCAGCCAAAAUUUUUUACACUAGUUUUUCACAGGCUAAACUAAAACCCAACACCUAACUUUUCAAGGCUAAGUUAGAACCUUAACACAUUUAAGCAAACUUAGCUUAAAACAAACACUUAGAGUGACUCCCUCACUCUAAGAAUACAAGAGGAAAAGUAAAAGAAAGUACCUAUGAUCACAAGUUGAUCUAAAUGGUACAAGGUUGAGUGUAGAAAAGAAAUACAAAGGAUGGGCGUUUAAGUGCAGUGAGGUGAAGAGAAAAUUCUCUGGUUUUUAGCUCUUAAUGACUCAAAUCUCUUCAAAACUUCUAAAAACUAGUUUCUAAAUGUUGAAAGACCCUUUUAUACUUGGAAAAACAUCUUUGAUGGUAGUUUGACAGUUUUCUGACCAUUGAAGACAGUUGGGAGUCGGUUCUAGUCGUUACUCUAUCUUUUAGUGCAGAUUUCAAACUUGCAGGCAGAAUGCUCUUAGUCGACUAACCGAUUUCUUGGUCAACUAAGUUUGUUCUGUCUUGAAGUUUAGAUUUUGGCAGUAGCUUCUUAGUCGACUAACCCAUUUCUUGGUCGACUAAGUUGGUUUUAUUUAUUGAUAUUCUUCAGCCUGCCAUUUCUCCUAUUUAAAUUUUAGUCAACCAACACUCUUCAUUAUCUAACCAAAGACUUUCCUCUUAGUUGAUCAAUCAUUUUUCUUCAUUUUCAUGAUUCUUGAUAUAUACAUUGGAAAGGUUUAUUUAUUAUUUCCAUAUGACUUUUUGUCCUGCACACAUAGAUAGAAAUGUUAGACACAAAUGAAAUGGAAAUGUUUUAUUAUCAUCAAAAACUAAUGGAGCCAACAAUCUCCCCUUUUUUAUGAUGACAAAACAUUCCUUGGUUAAAUGUACAAUGUCUUUUAUUCUUUUUAGUUUCAGCAGAAAGUGAGGAUUGCUCCCCCUAAGUGUGUGGUCCCCCUUAAUGUGUGCAUAUUUAGCUUAUUCAUUUCAACAGAUUUUAUUCAUGUCAUAUAGAAGAUGACACCGUUCAUUCAGAGUAUAUAUAUAUGCAGAUCUUUAAAAUAAUUUACAGCAGAUGAAUGUUGACAGUUUCUUAUCAAAAUUUCAGUAGUGUUUGUCAUUAACAUAUUAUUACUAGAUUUUGUCUAUACCAUUCAACAAUCAUCAGAUACACUAUACUUAGCAUCCAUAUGCAUUCAUAAACAUAAUUUAUAGUAAAGAUCAGUAAUCAGUAUACAAAUCUUAACAUCAGUGCAGUGACAAACUUUUAUCAACAGCAAUUAAAAUGUCAUAAAUAGCAAAAUAUCAGCAGCAACAUACUAUAAACAUAUCAGCCAAGCACCAUAAACAUGUAAAAAUAUAAACAACAAGAUUAGAGUUAAGUGUUCAAUUUGCCAUCAUGGCACAAAUAGUAGAAAAAUAAAAAAUAAUCCUAAAUUGCCCCUAGUUCAUUUCAACUUUCUUUCUUCCCUAAGCUCUUGGUUCCUCCACCCUAACAUUUUUUUUUUAAUUUCUUGGUUCUUUCUCCCCCUAAGGUUCUGCUGGUCUUUUCCCCUUUUUGUGUCAUCAUCAAUCUCUAAGCAUCAGUUGAGAAAGAUAAGGGAGAUGACUCAUCAGUGGCAUAUUUGACAUCUAAGGGUUGAGGAGAGGUUGCUAAAGGGAAUUAUUGGGACAGGGGAUCAGGUAAAGGUGAGUCAGAUACUUCUAAUGGUUCUUGAGGCAAAGAAACAGGUGUUGGCUUGGACUUUUCUGCCAGUCUGGUGGAUUUCCUUCUCUUAAGGAAUGCUGUUUUUGUUGCCAUUGUUUUCUUUCCUUUAGUGAGUGUGGUUUUGUUACUGGCUGUGGUGGUGUAGUAACUUUUUUUUUUCCUUUUCCAUAUUCUGCCUUCAUUCUAGGGGCUGGUGUAGAUGCUGUUUGUUGAGCUUUUCCCUUAACUACUUCUUUCUCAGCUUGUUCCUUCUGAACCAUUUGAUGGAACAAUUUCAUGAUUGAAACCUCUUCAGAAUGAAGAGGAGAUGGUUGAGGUUCUAGUUGAGGCUGGGGUUCAAUAGGGGCAUUUUCUUGAUCAGAUCAAGCACUUUAGUACCUUGAUCAAAUUUAUCCUUGUUUUGUAGCUCAAGUGCAGGUGAUUUUCUUGUCUGUUCCACUUUAGGCUCAUGACCUUCAACUUGCACCUAAACUUACUGAGGAGCAGAUCCUUCUGCUUGCAAAGCUGAAUCCUUAUCGCCUUACUGUGCUGGUGCAACACUUGGUGUCUCAAAGGAAUCUGUAGUAACAGGUCCUGAUGGCUUCUCUUUUCCCUUUAGUUGAUUUUCCAAUGCAGUAACUUUCUCUUCAAUUCUCUGCAAUCUAGCUCCUUGAUUAGUGAGCUUUCCAUCUAUCCUCAUCAAUAGAUUAAAGAUCAUUUCACUAAAGAAUUGUGAGGAUGCUACCUCUGACUGAGUUGGGAGUGAAGGUUCUCCACCAGGAUUUACUUUGGGAGUUUUAACAUAUUUUUCUCCUUCAAGUUUGUAUCCCAUCUUAGAUAAGCUUCCAAGGUAGAUUGAUUGAUCUCUACUCUUUACUUGAUCCAUUGCAUAUCUUGAAUUCCAAAUCCCUUUUUUUUAUACAAGUGCAGUAAUGAUAUUCCCAUAUGGCAGAUUAAUUUUUUCCAAUCUACAAGCUCCCUUCAUUCUCUCAAUCAUAAAUCUUCCUAGGUCCCGUGGACUCCCAUUGAAGGCAUGUUCCAUUAGCCAAAGGUCUUGUAGACUAAUAUAACUAAAGCUUCCCUCUCUGCCAUGAACAUUAGUAGCAAUGAAAUAAUGCAAUAUUCGAACUUGUGGACUAGUGAUCAAACCAGCAUUACUUUUAGAAGAAUAUUUCUCUUUCUUUCUAGUAAUCACUUCCCAAAAGGAUGCAGGAUCAUAGUUUUCUAGGAACUCAAACUCACCCUCUUCACACUCAAUGUUUAGCAAACUGCCAAAAUCAGUAGCAGUCAUAGUAAAUUUUUUUUCAUUUAAAAAUACAUUCAGGCCAUCCUCAAGAUAAUCAUUCGGCUCCUCUAAUUCAUUCUUCUCAACUGCUAUACUAGAACAAAAUUAUUUAACCAAACUUGCACUAUAAGCUUGAUUCUUAAAAGUACUGAAAUAUUUCAGUUUCAUCUCCUCAAAAUAGUCUGAUAAAACUACUUUAAAUUCAGGCACUUUAUUAAAACUAUUCCAGUCGAUAAAUUUCCCAUAAGUGAUUGGUGCAUUUUCAAUUUUCAGGAACGUAUGCUCAUGAAUUUUGUUUCAAAAUUUGGAGGACAGAGAUUCACCUUUCUUUGAUGUUUUUCCCUUUUUUUUCUUUUUAUCUGUUUUCUGUCCUUUUUCCUUUUGUGACUUUCCAGAUUUUCCACUCUUUGAUGCAAACUCAAUUUUCUGCUUCUUCUCUAGCAUUUCUGCUUCUGACUGUUCUACUAGUGGCCUUUUUCCCUUCGUCUUUUCAAUGAUUUCCCUACUUAGAGAUAUCUUUGCCAUUUCAAUUCUUAAGAUUUCUAGUUGGGGCUUGAGGGUUUUGGUUUUGUGUGAGUCAGUUUCAGAGGCAAGAAUGUAGAGAGAAUGGGCUUUAGUUUCAGAUGACUGAGUUUUAGGGGAGAGAAAAUGUAGAAAAAGAAGUUUUCAGCUAUAUUAAUUUCCCUUAGAAAAUCACCCGCCUCCCUCUUAAAAAUAGCCUCACUUCAUUUGCUUAAAAAUUUUAAAAUUCCCUCUAAAUUUUGGUUAUUCUCGUAGGCAGUUUUUCUUCUCCUCUUUAUUGCUUGAUACACAUUAUUUUAUUCUUUCUUCAUUUAUUUGACCGAGUCUUAUUAUUUAAGACUAAUAGAGCACUUUUAGUUGACUAAGAUUCACCUUAGUCGACAAAUGCAUUCUGUUUUAUGAGCAUAAGUCAAGAUUUUUCUCACAAUUCUUGCUGACUAAUCAUACCUAAAUUCCUUCUAAUUUCACAGAAUCUAUCUUCAUUUAGGGGUUUGGUAAAAAUAUCUGCUAAUUGAUGCAAAAUAUUCACAAAAUCAAUCUUAAUAUCACUUUUCACUACAUGGUCUCUAACAAAAUGGUGUCUAAUCUCAAUGUGCUUUGUCCUAGAAUGCUGCUCGAGAUUUUUAGAUAUAUUGAUUGCUCUUGUGUUGUCACAGAAGAUUGGUACAUUAUGAACUUUAAUUCCAAAAUCUCUUAGUUGUUGUUUGAUUCACAAAAUCUGAGCACAACUACCUAGAGAAAUAUACUCUGCUUUAGCUGUUGAAAGUGCCCUAGAGUUUUGUUUCUUACUUGACCAGGAUAGUAGCAUACUUCCUAGAAAUUGGCAUGUUCCACUAGUGCUUUUUUUAUUAGUUUUGCUUCCUGCAAAGUCUGCAUCUGAAUAGCCUACAAGAUCAAAUGAUGAUUCUUUAGAAUACCAUAAUCCUAAAGUUUGAGUUUCUAAGAGGAAUCAAAAAAUUCUCUUAACAGCUGUUAGGUGUGAUUUUUUAGGUUGUGACUGAAAUCUAGCACACAAACACACACUAAACUGAAUAUUUGGUCUGCUUGUUGUUAAGUAGAGAAGUGAUUCGAUCAUACCUCUAUAGAGCUUUUGAUUAAUACUUUUUCCUUUCUCAUCAGCAUCGAGUUUAGUGGAUGGACUCAUUGGUGUGGAGAUUGAUUUCAGCUUCAACAUAUUGAACUUUUUGAGCACAUCUUGUGUGUAUCUUUCUUGGUUGAUAAAGAUUCCUUUCUCACCUUGCUUAAUUUGAAGACCAAGAAAGUACUUUAACUUUCCCAUCAUGUUAAUCUCAAAUUCACCUUGCAUUUCUUUAGCAAAGUGCUUGCAUAAAGCCUCAUUAGUUGCACCAAAUACAAUGUUAUCCACAUAUAUUUGCACAACAAUUAAAUCAUUUAAAUAUCUUUUAAUGAACAAUGUAGUAUCAAUGUUGCCUCUAACAUAACCUUUUUCAACUAGAAAUUUUGAAAGCCUGUCAUACCAAGCUCUAGGAGCUUGUUUUAAUCCAUACAAGGCUUUAUAGAGCUUGUAAACAUGGUUCGGUUUUUCAAAAUCUUCAAAACCUGGUGGUUGUUCAACAUAUACUUCCUCUUGAAUGAAUCCAUUUAAAAAUGAACUUUUUACAUCCAUUUGGUACAAUUUGAAAUUCAUGAAGCAUGCAAAAGCUAACAAUAACCUUAUGGCUUCAAUUCUAGCAACCAGUACAAAGGUUUCAUCAUAGUCUAUUCCUUCCUCUUAGUUAUAUCCUUGGGCUACUAACCUAGCUUUAUUUCUAACUACAUUUCCUUACUCCUCUACCUUAUGUCUAAACACCCAUUUUGUCCCAACAAUAAAGUGAUUUAAAGGUCUAGGUACUAGUGACCAUACAUGAUUUCCUUUGAAUUGGUCAAGUGCCUCUUAAAUGACCAUUAUCCAACUUUCCUUAUUUUCAGCUUCCUCAAAGUUUUUAGGUUCAAUUUGAGAUAGGAAAGCUGAAAAUUCACAAGUCUCCCUAGUUGCUCUUCUAGUUUUGACACCUUGAGAAAUGUUACCUAUGAUUUGUUCUUAUGGAUGGUCUCUUACAAAUCUCCAACUUCUUGGAAGAUCACUAUGCUGAUUUUCUGUUCUUUGCAAAUCUUAUAGAGGUGGAGUUUCAUUUUCUCUUCUAGAUGAGCUUUCUUCAUUAUUCUUAUUGUUCUCUAAGCUCAUUUCUUCCAUUUGUUUUUCUUGGAUUUCUACAUCAUCAUUGUCAAGCCCGACCCUACAAUAUGUUUAUUAUGCCAUUCCUACAUAAGAAUACAUGUUUGCUUACUUGGGUACCUCGAAAAUCGUUAAAGAACGGUAUUGUACCAAAUGGUACAAUUAAGUUGAAUUAAGCCUUGAACCAGUCCAAAUAGAGAUUUUAAGAUGAAAUUGAGAAUUUUAAAACCCCAUAAUGACUUAAAAUGGUGAUUCAGAGUUUGAGGAUCGAUUUAGAGUCGAAUUGGAAUUUUCAUGACUUAGGGGCAAAAUGGUCAUUUUGCUACCCGAGGUUAAGAUGUGAGUGUUGGAUGAAAUUUUGACUAAAAUUGAUCAUUUGGAGUAUAAUUUGAGUUUGAGAAGUGAAGAAUUUUAAUUUUGGCAUUUUUUCGAGGAUAAGGGCAAAAUAGUCAUUUUGCCACCCUAGGGGCAAAAUUGUAAUUUUACACCACCCAACAGUUGUCUAGUACAUGAAUUUUUCCCUAUAUUAUCAUGGAUAAUUGAGGAAAUUUAAGUGGUGGAGAGAGAUUGCUUAAUGGGUAAGUAUGACACAUGGACCAAUGAAAUGGUGACACAUGGUAAAUUUUUGUCAAUUUAAUAUUUUCCUUUAUAAAGCCAAUUUGAACUCUUCCACAGUCAUUCUUAUGGCCAGCCAUAGCAAGAACAAAGGAAGAAAAGAAGAACAAAAACCCUAGAGUGAAAAUUCAAGAGAAAAUUGGUGGAUUUCAAGUAAUCAAGCCAUCAAAGGUGAAAUUUAUUAACUCUAGCUUGUGAUCUCUCUUUCCUAUGCAUUAUUUUGCAUUUUCCAUGGUUGAAUCACAAGAUAUCAUGAAGGAUAGUGUGCUGAUCAAACCUAGGAGAGAGAAUUUGAUGAUGAUUUAGAUAGAUUUUUAAGAUAUAUGGAUGUUUUUAGUUGUUUAUGGUGUUAAGUGUGAGAAUUAAGCUUGAAAUUCACAUAUUCCUCAUGAGUUCAUCAUUGGCUGAAUCUUCCUUGUGGAGUGUUGAUGGUGGAUUUGAUUUUAUUUCAAGUGAAUUGGUUAGGAAAUGAUGAAUUAUGGUGAGAAAAUCAAGUAGGAAAAAUCAUAGUGUUGAUGCACUCACCAUGGCCGAAAUUCUCAAGAAGAAAUGUGAGGAUGGUUUUGCUAAAUUUUAUGUUAUUUGACUUGUGUUUGGUGAUUUGAAGUAUUGGGAGAGAAAUGGAAUUAUUGGGAGUUGAAUUGGACGUAUUGGCCAAUUAAUCGGGUGAUAGAUCGAGUUAGGUCAACACCGCAUGUAGACGAUAAUCUGAACAAUUCGCAUUCCAUAUCAUGCAUUCAUAUAGAGUUUAGAUUAGUUUUAUAACAGUUUAGCACCAAUGUGGUAAAUUGCUUGAUUUUGCAUUAUGUCUAGGUGGUGAAUCCUCCGAAAAAGGGUAAAGAAAUUGCACCCGAGGAUCAAUAGUCGGAGUACUCCAAAAUUCAAACACCUGAUACAGUGAGUAACCUUAUCAUCAUCUUGAUUAUUUGAAGUGAAUUUUAAUUCGUUUUUGUGAUUUUAUGGAAAAUGAGUUUAAAUGGUAAAUCUUUCUGUUUUAAAAGCAAAAUGUGAUUAAAUGAAAUGAUUUUAUAAAAUUGUCUUGAAAUUGAAUGAUGGUUUUGGAAAAUGGAGUAAUUGGAGACUAAUUGAUGUGUUGUAAAUUAUGGUUUGAAUUGAAUGGCUUAUAAUAAUGUGGGCAUGAGUGGCUGGAUUUGGUAAAUGUGCUAAAAAUGUAUGAACUGUUGAUUUGCCUUGAGAGGCUGUUAAAUAAAAUAAUUGCCAUGUCAUCUUGUUGAAUUUUAUUGAAUUAGUGGGUUAUAAAUUGGUCGCUGCAGUGGACGGGUUCCGUGGACCAGCCUAUUAGAGGGCACAGUAACCUUAUUAUAUUCUUACCUCAGUAUGAGAGGCACGGAUGGAUAACUCUUGAGGUUAACACUUUAUAGUUCACUUCACGCUAAACCACCACGUGAGGGUGAACUCAGCCAAUGCCAAGGAACGACUAUGCUUUCAAACUAAAAACAUGAUUUAUGUGUACAUGACUUUUUAGCAGCCUUGGCGGACACGGUUGGGAUAGCCCUCGACCAAGGUAUCCCUAAAAACUGAGUAUGAUAAUGAUUUUGGCAUGAGCCAAACUUUUCAGGAAAUCAUAAGCCUCGUUGUUUAUUUAGGUGAAAUGAAUCUAUUUUAUCUUAUUAAAAUGAGUUCGAAAUGCUGUGAAUCAUUUUUAUGCUAAUCUAUCUUAUCUGUCUCCAUUUACUCACCUUUAGAUAUUUUAGAUGAUAUUUGUUUACUCACUUGGAUUAUAUAAUCUCACUACCCUCCUUUCCACCCAUUUCAGGCUCAGGAUAGUCGGUAGAUAGCUCACUUUGUUAAGGGCUACAGUUGGACUUGCAUCCUCAAAAACUGUAGGUUUAUCGCUUUUGAUACUUUUGGUUGUUCGUGGGCCCACGUGUCACUGUAAAAUAAAUCUUAUGCUUUGGUUAUUUGUAUUACAGUAUGUAUGAAUUUAUUUAGCUUUUACGCUACAAAAAUUAUUUACCGGCAACUCUAUAAAUAUUGUUUUAUAAGAAAAUAGAAUAUUUUAUUGAAUAUUUUUAUUAUAUUCAAAUAGUCAUAAUUUCAUUUUAAAUGAAGGUUUAAGAAGUUUAAACUUAUUUUUGAUUAUGAAUUAUGUGUUUUAUACUCGCAUACUACAUUUUUAGCUGGUUUCCAAAUUUUCGAGAAAAAAUGACCAAUAUGCCCUUGUGAGACAGAAAUCAUUUUUUUUUAUUGAUUUAAGUUAGAAAUAGCUUAAAAUCUUUUAAAACAUGAUAUUUGGCAAUGGUUACUCACAGGGGAAAUGAGAAACUGAUAUUAAAGCCUUGUGGGUUUUCGAUUGACAUUUCGGAUAAUGACUGUCGAUCGGGACACCGCGGUGGUUGUCACGAGCUCGAAGGGAGUAUCGGGUCGUGACAAUUAGAGUGGUAUUAGAGCUUUUUGUUUUAAAGAUUAGAGCUGUUGGGUUUAAAGUUGUUUUAAAGCUGUUUUAAAAACUACAGUGUUAGUGUGGGUCAAGUUAAGUUAAGUUAAGUUAAGUUAGGUUUGAUAUAAUAGAAUACGUGCAUCUGCAUAUAGAUUUUGGAGUUGUUUAGACUCGUUCUGUUUCUUCUUAUAAAUCUUAUGGGAGCAUAAGUCAUAGACAGGGAGCUAUAUGAACUCCUGUUCCCAGUAAUCCACUUCCUUGUUAAUGUCAUGCAAAGGUCAUAAGUAGGGCCAUUGUCCGGGUUUAAGAUGCCACCCGUGACACAAGCUAGUGUUAGAGAGAUCUUAAAACCAAUGCUCCCAAUGAAAGAUUAAUGAAAUGAUAUAUCCCUCCGAUUAAGGAUGGAGAAAUUUGGAGUUGGACUAAUAGGCCGUGAUAAUUUAUUCAUUUGGUGGAGUUAUAAUUGAACUCAUGGUUGUCAAUUGGAAAAAGAUUUGGGGACUAUGGAUUGUAUUGGGGUUAAUAUAAAGGAGCGCGUGUGAUAGUGGUAAUAAGGGUUGUACUUUGAUUAGAAUGAAUAGUGAUGGUUGUAAUUCACUUGAAGUGUAUAAAUUAAGCAUUGAGGUAAGAGUAAACCCAUACUUAUGUGCAUGAAGAUAAGAACACUAUGUUAAUUGAGCUUGUUAUGCCCAUAUAAAAGUGGUGUUGGGAUUUUGAAAUAUUUUAUAUGUGAAUAUGUGUUGAAUAGGUACAGCAGCUUAGAGGGAACUGGUGUUGAUUUCAAUUAAGCGAUUGUGAGAUUUCAAGAAUUGAUUGGACCUAUUAUAGUUCAUGGAUAUAAGCACGUGAAUUAACUCGAGAGUGAGUAUCAAUGAUUACUAUAAUUGAUGUGUGGUCAUGAAGUAAGAAGUUAGUAAACAAAUUUGCUCUAAGGAUGAGCUUGAACUUUGCUAUGCAUAGUAGGGGGAGCCAAGGGAUUAAAGGACUAGAUGUGGAAUUGGCAGCUUGAGGUUAAAUGACUUGGAAAUGUCGAAUCUAGUCUAAGUGCCAUAUGAAGUUCUAUAAUUGAGACUGAUAUACGAAUUACUUGAAAGAUCAAUUUAAAAGUUUAUUCAGUUCAAAGUGUGGCCUAUGAUACGAAUGAUCAGUCUUGAAGGUGAUCUCCCCAGAGUAAGGAAUUUAGAAAAUGUUGAUGUUUGGAUAUACUCUAAGAGAGAGAACUUCUGCAUCCUAAGUUUAGGACAACUUUGAUCUUAUGAUCGCAAAGGCAAGGUGUAAUAACUAAGUAAAUUAUUCACUUAAUAAAUGUGAUUGGUUAUUGAUGAAUAAAGUCAAGAUCUUAACAUUUAGUGGUAUACAAUUUGAUAAUUAUGUAUUUAAGAGUUAUUUGGAGACAAUUCCUUCAUCAAAUUUGCACUAAAUGCUAUGGUAAAGGCAUAUCAAUGUUAAUAUGGAAAUGUAUCCAGGAAUGAUCUUAACAUACCACCAAAGGAGAAUUAAACAUGUUGAAAUUAAUGUUCUAAUAGUGUGCAUAUGAUAGAAAGCUAGUUUGUAAGUUGUAGUUUUCAUGAUCAUGAAAUAUAUAAAGAUUAUCAAUCUAUGGACAUACACUUGGAGUUGUAAUUUACAAGUUUAGAGUAUUUAAGAUAUUAUUAAAUGGAAUUAGCAUUAGUUAAGGUACGUAAAUCUUUUAAUUAAUUUCUGUGGAGUAUGCAUGAUAGUAGAAUGGAGGAACAUAGUGCCGUGAUACUAUAUGGUGAAGUUACUAUACAAUAUGGAAAGAGUAUUCUAAAGUGGGAUUUAUUGAUUGUUGACAAGUGUUAUAAGAUGAGAUGAAUUUGAAAAUAUCGACUUUACCUAUUAUAUGUGAUAAGCACAAGAAGAUAUAAAUGGUUAUGGAAAUUGUGACGUAAGCUUGGAGGGAAACCAAACGGUUGAGAAUGAUUAGUGUAGUAACCUUAAAUAUAGAUGAAUAACAUUGAUUAAGUAAACUCCAACAGCCACUGUGUUGCGGUGCUAAGAACACUUCAUGUCUAUGACGCAUGAAUAAAAUGAGACAGAUGUGAAGUUGAACUUACGAGUUGACCUAAAGUCAUUGAACUUGAUUCGAAGUUUUGUUAACUGGAGUUUUAAGGUUUUGGAAGGUAUUGAUAUGAAUGAGUUAAAGCUAAAAUGGUUAAAGGAAUUCCCUUCGGGGGGGGGGGGAGGCAAAAGGUCUAGGGUUCGAAACUUGGUGAGAAGGUCCUGCAGGGCCUGUCAUGCUGCCCUUAGGCACAGGGUUCUGAGUAAGUCAAGUGAUAGGGAUCCAGACAUAACAAUACCUUGGAGUGGGCCUCGAAGGGGAUGCCACAUAAAUGGCUAAGUUACAGGUUAAGUGAUCACAUGUUGUGAGACAUAAGUUUAAGAUAGAGAUCUCCAAGGAAAUACUGAAGAAAAUUUUUGCCAUGGAUCUCGUGAAAGCAAGCACUAAGUUAUAUGGUUAUAAAAAGGAAGUUGUAAGCUGAGAGUGAUAUUAGUAAUAAUAUUGAAAAGUACUUGAGGGGAAUCUAGUUUCAAGUUUUGCAAUUUCAAGUGCAAUUUAUAAAUUGGCUAAGGGAGAAUGAUGUUAUAUUCGUAUGAAAGAGUGGAACAAAGGAUGAUUGAAGUUAACCUUGAUAAUGAAGUCAGAUAAUGACACUUUCCUAAUAUAUUAUGGAAAAUUGGAAUUCGAAAAUGCUUGAGGCAUACAUGAUUCAAAUGGGUCUAAGUCUUAAGUGAUAAAUCAAUAUCGGAAUGCAAGAAGGAUACAAGGUAAUGUAGAGGCAUGAAGGAUAAUCGAGGAAAAAGGAUGACUCUUAGGAAUUGUGGUAUUGCCUAAGAUGCAAUGAUCAAAUUAAGAUAAAUCUUUGAGGCAUCAAUGGGAUUAUAAAGCAUACACGCAUAAUAGAUUAUAAUUCAAUGGAGAUGACAUUAUGAUGCAACGAUAUAUAGUACAGGGAAACUUAAGCAUAUAAUUGGAAAUGAUAAGAAGAGAGUAUAAGUAUGUAAAUGAUGUGGAACUAUGCACAGGCAUGAUGAGAAUUUGUACGAAUUAUGAAGAUUAUUCUAUUGAAUCUUGGUUAUGGAUGGGAAUGAACAAAAAAAAAUUAGUCUGAAGGUAUUUGAAAAUAGAGACCCGUGUACUUAAUGAGGAAAAUGGACAUUUGAAUGUGCGUGUAUACGUGUGUGUGGAGUUAGUUGUCAAGACCCAAAUUCCAGGCCAUGAUCGGCACAAGGGCCUAAUAGAAGUAAUCCAUUAGGCCCAAGCAAGCCUAUCUAUUUAUCCUACUCAUCAUUCCAUCAAAUAUUGCUAAGUCACAUUUUAUAACUUUAAAUCAAAAUAGUGAUAGACAUUCCCAACUCGUACUGGCAUACCAAUUAAGUGUACAUUGCCUACAACAUGUACCUUAAUAAUUUACAUCAAGUUUGUCUAUACAUCUCAAAAAGAAGACUCGAUUUCCAGCGAAGGGACUCGGGCGAAUGUAUAGCUACUAAAUGCCGAGACACCUACCAAAAGAUGGAUAUAAGUCUACAAGGACACCUCAUCCUAGUUACCAGCUGCCUCGUGAUCUGAAAACAUGAAGUUGAAAACGGUGAGUAUAAACCCAGUGAGUGAACAAGGAAGGGAACAAGCAACAAAAAUGGAGAAUUUAAAAUCAUGAUGCACUUGUUUCAAAAUAAUGCAAUUUAGUUCCAUUCAUAUUAAAAACCCAUCAUCAAGUCCUUAAAUGAUUUAUCAUUUGAAAAUCAUGAACCCAUGCAUAACGAACCAUUUGAAGAAUGAAAACUUCAAUAUUACACAAGCAAGUCAAAUACGAUAACGAAUCUUUGCUGCAGCGAGAAUGAAUUUUCGUUUUAGCGACGUUGGGAUUUAGUUAUUAGCCGAACGAGGGUUUCUCAACUAGCCGAAGGUUUCUCACUAAACCUCUUUAUUUUAAACUUAACUCAUUUAGUCCUUAAUGUUGGAAGUCCAUACUCAGAUAUGGUAGCAAAAAAGUGAAAAAUAGAGCAGCAAAUGGACAAGAUAGGAGGCAAAACAGAAAGUUUUUUGCUACAGCAAGAUUGAAUCUCGCUGCAGCGAAAUUGUAACCCAAAAACAGAAGGUUUCUCGCUGCAGUGAAAUUCAGCUGAUGAAACAUAGAGUUUCUCGCUGCAGUGAGAUUCCUUUUCGCUACAGCGAGAAGCUAUAGUGACUAUCUCGCUGCAGCGAGAACCAGUUCUGGUGAAGGCUCUCAAACCCAAGAGUUUCUCGUUGCAGCGAGAAUGAUUCUCCCUACAGCGAGAUACAGAGCAUCAAUGAAAAAUUUGCCUUUCUCCCAAAGAAAAACCACCUUGCUGAAAUGUCCAAACCAACAUGAAAUGCAUGAUAAUUUUCCAAAGUUUAACAUGUCAAGUUUCACAUGCAUUAUAACCAUAUACCAUUACUCAUUAAUUUCCUAUAACACACAUAUUUACAUAUGUAUAUAUGUAUACGUAUACCCAUCAUCAUCAUACACACCAUCCCAUCAUCAUCAUCACCAGCUCAUGGGCACUUCCUACUCGCACAUGGCUGGGUCAUCACUGGGUUAUGCACACCCCUUACUCCACAUAACCGGGUCAUCCUCGGCUUAUGUGCACUCCCUACUUGCACAUAGCCGAGUAAUGUCAUUACACAACAAUUUAUUCAUAUAUAUAUAUCAACACAAUUUGGUAGUGCAUGAAUCAAUAAUAGUCACAUGUCACAACAUAAGCCAUUUCUCAAGAGCUUGUUCCCAAGGCACUCAUUUUUAAGAAAAAUUGUAUAAAAUCAUUCAAACACUUUGUACAAAACAGUCACAUUCCUAAAAUAGUUUUGAUAGGCAGUCCACUCACUGAUUUAUUAUUGAGCCUUUAGUUGACUCUAAUUCCCCUAAUGAUCCAAUUGGAAGGAUGGGACUUCAUUAGAACCUAGGAUCACAUUAGCAUAAGCAAUAGGUCAAUUCACACGUUAUGAACCCUAAAAGCUAUGUCUUAGCUAGCUUUCAAUUGCCACAUUAAAUGGCUAUCUAUGUUCACUAUCUUAAUCACUAAAAAAGUAAUGAACAUACUCAACAAUAAAACAGCUCAUAAUCCCAAUUACUAGCCAUUAUUCACAGCUAAAAAUCAAGCUUAGUUCAUCACUUACCUUAGGGCUCCUUUGUAGUCGAAUUCUCUUCCAAUAGCUUCAAAAUCAAUGGGGUAAUUCUCUCUUUCUCUCUCUAGAACGCCCAACUAGUGAGAGAAGGUAUAGAAAUAAGAUUUAUCAAGGGUUUUGAAGUGAGAGAUUGAAAGUAUAUAAGGGUUCUAGUCAAAAAGGCUCAAAAGUAUGAAAACUAGAGCUAGAGAGAGAAAAUUAUGCAAGCUCCAUAUCAAACUUCCAUGGAGGUUUUAAAGAAAUGUGAAAGGGAAGAAGGAGAAGAAGACAAGCUACUGGAAAUUCAAGAAGUUACUGGAAAUUCAAGAUAUUUUAUAGCCAAACUUAUCCACUCCACUUAAAUUACCAAAUUGUCCCUCCACAAUUUAGCUUAUUCUCUUAUAAUCUUUUAUGCAAUAUUUUUACUCUUUUGACACUGGGAUAAGGUCCAUAAUGGUCUAGACAUGCUCGGGUUCAUGAAAACUUAAAAUUUUAACUUGAGGUGAAAAAUGACCAUUUUGCCCCUAUCGUGAAAAUCGUCAAAAUUUUGGUUUCCUUUCCAUUUUACCCUUAAUUUCACCAAAAACACUAAAAUACAUUGAAAUCUAACCAAAUCAAGCAUCAAAACCUCUCUCUAAGUGUUUAGCCUGCAAGAUACCCAUCAUGAAAUGAUGUGAUUCAACCAUGGAAAAUGCAAAAGAAUGAUUGGGAAAGGUAGAUCACAAGUCAAAAUCAAGAAAUUUUACCUUUGAUUGCUUGAUUACUUGAAAUCCACCAAUUUUCUCUUGAAUUUUCACCCUAGGGUUCUUGUUCUUUCUUUUCUUCCUUUGUUCUUGCUUUGGC